This 201-nucleotide ribosomal RNA is filed under the name uncultured bacterium. RNAcentral's name for it is "partial 16S ribosomal RNA". It matches the Rfam family "Bacterial small subunit ribosomal RNA", at positions 326 to 538 of the family's 1533-position model. The record is from RNAcentral.
ACGCUCGACACCUACGGGAUGCAGCAGUCGGGAAUAUUGCGCAAUGGAGGAAACUCUGACGCAGUGACGCCGCGUAUGGGAAGAAGGUUUUCGGAUUGUAAACCAUUUUAGACAAGGAAGAAACAAGACAGUACUUGUAGAAUAAGCUCCGGCUAACUACGUGCCAGCAGCCGCGGUAAUCUGAGGCGGGCUGGACAAGGC